This 59-nucleotide ribosomal RNA is filed under the name Pleurotus eryngii var. elaeoselini. RNAcentral describes it as "partial 28S ribosomal RNA". The record is from RNAcentral. Lineage: Eukaryota; Fungi; Basidiomycota; Agaricomycetes; Agaricales; Pleurotaceae.
GUCCGCGAGGACAAUUUGACAAUUUGACCUCAAAUCAGGUACGAUUGGCCCCGGCUUUU